AUACGUAGGGGGCGAGCGUUGUCCGGAAUGAUUGGGCGUAAAGGGCGCGUAGGCGGCCCGGUAAGUCUGGAGUGAAAGUCCUGUUUUUGAGAUGGGAAUUGCUUUGGAUACUGUCGGGCUUGAGUGCAGGAGAGGUAAGUGGAAUUCCCAGUGUAGCGGUGAAAUGCGUAGAGAUUGGGAGGAACACCAGUGGCGAAGGCGACUUACUGGACUGUAACUGACGCUGAGGCGCGAAAGUGUGGGGAGCAAACAGGAUUAGAUACCCUGGUAGUCCACACUGUAAACGAUGAAUGCUAGGUGUAGGGGGUAUCGACCCCUUCUGUGCCGCAGUCAACACAAUAAGCAUUCCGCCUGGGGAGUACGGCCGCAAGGUUGAAACUCAAAUGAAUUGGCGGGG
RNAcentral lists this ribosomal RNA (397 nucleotides) under uncultured bacterium. RNAcentral's name for it is "partial 16S ribosomal RNA". It matches the Rfam family "Bacterial small subunit ribosomal RNA", at positions 523 to 918 of the family's 1533-position model. The record is from RNAcentral.